GCCGGGUGCAGUGGCUCACACCUGUAAUCCCAGCUCUUUGGGAGGCCGAGGUGGGGGGAUCACUUGAGGUCAGGAGUUCAAGACCAGCCUGACCAACAUGGUGAAACCCCAUCUCUA
RNAcentral lists this non-coding RNA (117 nucleotides) under Homo sapiens (human). Lineage: Eukaryota; Metazoa; Chordata; Mammalia; Primates; Hominidae. The record is from Rfam by way of RNAcentral.